This 470-nucleotide ribosomal RNA is filed under the name uncultured bacterium. RNAcentral's name for it is "bacterial SSU rRNA". It matches the Rfam family "Bacterial small subunit ribosomal RNA", at positions 365 to 833 of the family's 1533-position model. The record is from RNAcentral.
UUCGCAAUGCCCGAAAGGGUGACGCAGCGACGCCGCGUGGAGGAUGAAGGCCCUCUGGGUCGUAAACUCCUGUUGAGAGGGAAGAAUGGAGCGCUAUAGGCGCUCGUGACGGUACCUCUAGAGAAAGCACCGGCUAACUACGUGCCAGCAGCCGCGGUAAUACGUAGGUGGCAAGCGUUGUUCGGAUUCACUGGGCAUAAAGGGCACGUAGGCGGAGAGGUAAGUCGUUGGUGAAAUCCCACGGCUCAACCGUGGAAUUGCUUGCGAUACUGCCUUUCUAGAGUGCAGGAGGGGAGAGUGGAACUCUUGGUGGAGCGGUGAAAUGCGUUGAUAUCAAGGGGAACGCCGGCGGUGAAGACGACUCUCUGGCCUGUUACUGACGCUGAGGUGCGAAAGCCAGGGGAGCAAACGGGAUUAGAUACCCCGGUAGUCCUGGCCGUAAACGAUGGGCACUAAGUAGAGGGGUUUUA